This 20-nucleotide transfer RNA is filed under the name Cecropia hololeuca. RNAcentral's name for it is "partial tRNA-Phe". RNAcentral also lists the same sequence under 1 other name. Lineage: Eukaryota; Viridiplantae; Streptophyta; Magnoliopsida; Rosales; Urticaceae. The record is from RNAcentral.
CGGGAUAGCUCAGCUGGUAA